UUUUCUCCUGAGCUUGACAAAUGUGGAAUUGAGACUAAAUUACAAGAGCUGUGCUUGAAGAACCUCAACUCUUUGGCCUCUUUCAACCUGAUUACCAUGGAUGAAGACAUUAACAUCAAGCCCACAGAGACUGGAAAACUCAUGGCCAGGUACUGUGUUGCUUUUGAGACUGUGAAGCAGUUCAGUA
Long non-coding RNA from Sinocyclocheilus grahami, 187 nucleotides. RefSeq lists it as uncharacterized. NCBI's taxonomy places the organism in Eukaryota, Metazoa, Chordata, Actinopteri, Cypriniformes, Cyprinidae. The record is from RefSeq and is a predicted model, not a curated record. The transcript has 3 exons.